This 225-nucleotide long non-coding RNA is filed under the name Lupinus angustifolius (narrow-leaved blue lupine). RNAcentral's name for it is "long non-coding RNA (LANG_LNC001705)". The record is from RNAcentral. Lineage: Eukaryota; Viridiplantae; Streptophyta; Magnoliopsida; Fabales; Fabaceae.
CUCUAACAAAUAUAAACAAACAAACCAAAAAUUGCGUAACAUACGUCUCAACAUACAUUUAUACACAAUGUCUGCAUUAACAAAUCGGUGUGGAACAUUACAUUCCGCAAGUGAAAUUUCUAGCUUCACACCAAAACCUCCACUAUGGCAGCACGGGUGCCUCAGCAAAUCCCUGGAUCAUCACGGCAAACGCGGGAACUGCCUCAACAAGUCCCUGGUCCAUCA